GAGGGUUUGGCGCCGUGGGCGACGCUGGUGGUGAAGGCAGAAACAGCGUCAUCGACUUGGAUGGCGACGGCGCGGACGCCGAGGCCGUGGCGGGAGGAGAAGUCCCGGGAAGCGGAGUGGUCGAAGGUGGGGAUGGAGGCGGUGGAGUUGUUGGGCCUGGUCGGAUCAUCGGUCCGGGUCAGGGUGGGGGAGUACGGGGCGGUGAAGAGGAAGUUGAGGUCGCCGGAGCGGAGGAGGUAGGAGGCAUGGGUUUGAUUGCCUGUGGAGAGGUCUGAUUUGGCUACCAUGGGCAUGCCGAGGCCCCACGAGAAUCGGAGGGCGGAGUUGGUGGCGUCGGUGCACCAGAACUCGACGUGGUGGAACCG
Molecule: long non-coding RNA, 365 nt
Filed under: Prunus persica (peach)
Lineage: Eukaryota; Viridiplantae; Streptophyta; Magnoliopsida; Rosales; Rosaceae
Description: long non-coding RNA (PPER_LNC003767)
Source: RNAcentral